Molecule: ribosomal RNA, 138 nt
Organism: Cercocebus atys (sooty mangabey)
Lineage: Eukaryota; Metazoa; Chordata; Mammalia; Primates; Cercopithecidae
Source: Ensembl
GCCUAUAACCAUACUAUCCUGAAUGUGUUUGCGUGUCUGAUCUCAUCUGGUCUUGUCAAAGCUAAGCCAGGGUUGAGGGGUUGAGACUGGUUAUUACCUAAAUGGGAAGCUUCCUGGGAAUACUGUGUGCUGUAGGCU